RNAcentral lists this ribosomal RNA (168 nucleotides) under Acremonium sp. RNAcentral's name for it is "partial small subunit ribosomal RNA". It matches the Rfam family "Eukaryotic small subunit ribosomal RNA", at positions 1352 to 1544 of the family's 1831-position model. The record is from RNAcentral. Lineage: Eukaryota; Fungi; Ascomycota; Sordariomycetes; Hypocreales; Bionectriaceae.
UAACUAGCCCGUAUUGCUUUGGCAGUACGCUGGCUUCUUAGAGGGACUCUCGGUGUGAGCCGAGGGAAGUUUGAGGCAAUAACAGGUCUGUGAUGCCCUUAGAUGUUCUGGGCCGCACGCGCGCUACACUGACGGAGCCAGCGAGUCCUUCCUUGGCCGAAAGGCCUG